This 460-nucleotide ribosomal RNA is filed under the name uncultured bacterium. RNAcentral's name for it is "partial 16S ribosomal RNA". It matches the Rfam family "Bacterial small subunit ribosomal RNA", at positions 338 to 795 of the family's 1533-position model. The record is from RNAcentral.
CCUACGGGAGGCAGCAGUGAGGAAUAUUGGUCAAUGGACGAGAGUCUGAACCAGCCAAGUAGCGUGAAGGAUGACUGCCCUAUGGGUUGUAAACUUCUUUUAUAAAGGAAUAAAACGAGGCACGUGUGCCUUUUUGCAUGUACUUUAUGAAUAAGGAUCGGCUAACUCCGUGCCAGCCGCCGCGGUAAUACGGAGGAUCCGAGCGUUAUCCGGAUUUAUUGGGUUUAAAGGGAGCGUAGAUGGGUUGUUAAGUCAGUUGUGAAAGUUUGCGGCUCAACCGUAAAAUUGCAAUUGAUACUGGCAGUCUUGAGUACAGUUGAGGUAAGCGGAAUUCGUGGUGUAGCGGUGAAAUGCUUAGAUAUCACGAAGAACCCCGAUUGCGAAGGCAGCUUACUAAACUGUGACUGACAUUGAUGCUCGAAAGUGUGGGUAUCAAACAGGAUUAGAUACCCGUGUAGUC